This is a long non-coding RNA of Macrobrachium nipponense, 3410 nucleotides long. RefSeq lists it as uncharacterized. NCBI's taxonomy places the organism in Eukaryota, Metazoa, Arthropoda, Malacostraca, Decapoda, Palaemonidae. The record is from RefSeq and is a predicted model, not a curated record. The transcript is spliced from 3 exons.
AGUUGUACAAUUAAUACCAAAUCCUUUGGUAUGACCAAAACUUUAUUAUCUUUUGGAAAACGUGAGAUAAAUGAAGAAAUAUAAACAUACUGCAUGUUUUCUAAGUCACAGACGAAAAUAUGACACAAUGAGCGAGCGGCCUACCUCCCGGUACCAGCCAAUCAGAGGCUGCCAAACAAACGUCUCGUAGGCGCAAGAAUCUACCUUAAAUGAAUCGACUAUAGUCUACUUUACCGCGGAAUGAGGGCUUACCCAAAUGGCCUGCAAUAUAAGAAUAAGUAUGCAGAUGUGCCACUUUCUGAUUUACUGGCUAAUCUCAGUAAAUCAGAACUUCAGAAUGAAUGUAAGUUGUGCCAUCAGGAAGGGAUGAAGCAGUUUCUACUCUUGAAGACCAGGAUUCACAAUGCGUAGGUCUCCAUCUAUGAAGAUCCAAUUGUAUGAACUGUCUCCUGAUGUUUUUAUUUUCAAGACUGAAGUUUUUCAACCAUAAUCAAAUUGAUACAGUUUCCUCUGAAAACUCUAGACUACGAACAACUGCUGGGACUAUUUCUAAUAAUGAUUGCUGUGGAGUUUAACAUAAUUUUUAUAAAUGAUGUUAGCUGUGGAGUUGAACAUUAAGAAUUUACAUAGUUUAGUAGCUUGUGUGUAGAAUUGUGAUUUUGACCUUACUCAAAGAAGGGUUGAAAUCAGUUUCAAAGCAUUGAGAUACUUACGCCAUUGGGCUCUUUUAUACUUGCAUUUCAUUAAAUUCAACAGAUGUGCUCCUGUACCAUUAGUAACAGAAAUAUAAAAUUCAAUCCAUGGUUAAUUUGCAACUAGGCUAUUCAUUUUGGCUUGGGACCCAAGUUUAAAAUUUCAUAUCUUAUGAGAAUGGAAAGGAUUUCUAGUAAAUUUUGCACUCUUAAGAGUUUAAAUAUGCUGAGUUAAGUUUUGUCCUGCAUUCAUCUCGCAAAAUCAAAUGUAUCUAUAGUGGUUCUCCAACUUUCAGUCUAACUGUGUGUAUCAGGUAUCAGAAGCAAAUGUCAAAUCUUCAUUUUCUAAUAAUCCAGUUAUUGUAAUUUGAAGGAGUUGCAACACAUUAAGUAAAGUCUAAAGGAGUGAGAGUUUAUGUCAACUCAGUGGUUUUGUUCAACUAUUCUUAUUGGUAAUAUUAAACAAUGAAGCCAUUGAUUUAGUUCUGUUAGUGUAUAAUUUAAAGAGGGUGGUCACUUAGCUUUAUACUUACUCUUGUUGAAAUUAUAGAUAUAUUAAUUGUAUUAAGUCUUAUAAUUCGGUUUUUUUAUUGUUUUGAAUAAACCUGUGUCCUGUAAAUGCUAGAUAUUAUAGUAUGAGGUGCAGCAUGUGAGAGGGGCCUAUGUGCAUAGUUUUGAGACAGAGGCUUGGUAAAUCAGAAGUGGCCAUUUUUUUGUCUAUAUUUUGUAUUUACUUGGUCUUCUUUGGUUAUUGAGUUGUCUGGAGAAUAAUUGACCUCAUUUUGUGGGAUUUUGUUUCUAUUAGGUGUAUGGUCAUGUAGAAUAGCAAUUCUUGUACUUGUACAAUUACAUGGGCAAGAAAGUUAUAUGUACAUGUGGAUCAUGAAUUAAGUCUUCAGCUUUACUAUGUCCUGUGUGUAUGUGGGUGAUAUGUUUCAUUUCUGUUAACUGCUUCAUGAAGCCAAGGUUAACAGUCGGAGGCCAAUCAAUUCUAUUACUACUGACCCCCUGUUUUUCUAAGGUGAAGUAGGUCAAAGUGAUUACGUUCGAGUUUUUGAGGCUGUCCAACAUGUCUCUUUUGUAUGUGAAGUCACUCUCUUAUGUCAUAACUUUCUUUUACAUAAUGCCUUUAGUUUUGUAAGUGUUGGUCUUUUUUCUUUUUUGCAUCUCUUAACUUCUGAGGGAACUUCCUAGUGGGUGCUUUAUGCAAAAAACGUGUAGCUUAUGCAGGCCUAGUUCUUAUCUCCCAAGUCUGUUGGUGGUAGACUGUGUUUGGCUUAGGCUACGGGUUUCUAUGGGUUGUUAUUAACAUUGAUGGUUGAUAGUUACUUUGUACAAAAAAACACUGUAUUGAUUUUUUAAACCAGUCAGUUAUUUUUUGAUAUUAAAACAUUGUAACGUCAGUGUUCAUGACAAAAUGUUAUGCCAUUUUUUAUUAAAAUAUUAAGCAUUUUCUUUUUGCACUUCAAUUAUCGAUAGAUUAACUUUUAUUUCUAAGAUUAUCAAGCCAGAUGAACAAUUUCCUUUUUCAUAAUGUUACCGAUUUCAGUGGUUGACUUCUGCCCUUAGGAGGUGGUGGCGGCUCUAUUAGUAGUAGUAGUAGUUGUAGUAGUAGAGGAUGGGAAUGUCCUUUGAAACGGCUGCCUCAUUAAAGUACCUCUCUGCCUCCGUUUCACUUUUCCCAAGUGAUUUGAUUUGAUUUGAUGUGCGGUCGUUGCCAUCCAAACAGGAGUCAUUUCAAUACAACUGUUUAGUCAAUUUGAUACAACCCAAGUUCUUUUAAUCAAUUAAGGAAAUCAAGUCCUGACAUCUGUUUGCUAAAGAGAAAAAAAAAAAUCACACUGGCUAAAACUGUCUUAUUUAAUUCAAACCGUUUCCAAUUUCAUUUAAAACUCUUUCCAAUUUAAUUCAAACCGUUUCCAAUUCAAGUAAAGUAAUUUUCAUCAAGAAAAUAUUAAACCUUUUCACGUUCUUUUUAGUUUUAAUUUAAGUAAUGUAAAUACUAAAAUCAUCUAAAACAACAUGAGUUUUUUUAACGUUCUUUGUCACCAAAACUGUCUUAUUUGUCGUUUAUUGAUAGGCAUUAACCAAACACUGUUGUAUACAAAAUUAAUUUCUUACAAUAUAAAGAAGUUUAAAUCAUUUAUAACAUCUAUAACUUCUACGACUAUCAGAACAAUUAAUAGUUUUACCAUUUAACUCUUAAUUUCGUGACAUUAGCUUAAUAAUAAUAUAUUAACAAUACUUUAAUUUCGCGCAUCUAAAAUUCCACGAAUGUAAUUUGCAUCGAUUUUGCGAUUUUAACUUUUCACAGAAAAGUACGGAAUACCUCGCUUAACCAUAAGGUUUCUAUAAAACACUUAUUGACGUUAAGUGUUGAAAUUCGCUCUAACACUACUAUUUAUUAACCAUCCACUUGAAAUAAUACACUGCUUUACAUUUUUUCUUUGUUCAAUGACAUAUCCAAAUGUUAAAAGUUUAUUAAAUACUGUAUCUGAAUUUAGCCUCGUGAAGGGGAAUAGAAAAAUAUUUUGCAGUCAAAGGCAAAAUACUAUAAUUUUUUUCUCCUGUUUUGGUGCGAUAAUAUGAAAACUGACAUCCAUUGAAUUGUCUCUAUGGAUGUAUUGAAAUGACACUCGUCGAAUCGAUCUACCUAGGCCCAAAAGCGAUGCCUUGUCUGUAAAUGAAAUUAAUCUACAUUAAUCACUAAUUGUGAAA